RNAcentral lists this long non-coding RNA (292 nucleotides) under Hordeum vulgare. RNAcentral describes it as "long non-coding RNA (HVUL_LNC003403)". The record is from RNAcentral. Lineage: Eukaryota; Viridiplantae; Streptophyta; Magnoliopsida; Poales; Poaceae.
AAGACAUCCGACGGUCGGAGAAAAGCAGUACUUUUCGUCCGUGAAAACUACCAGAUUGAUGCCCCAUUGUUGGAGAAACAUAGUACGAUUAUCCAUGUUUUUUCCAUCGAUGACAUUACACAUCUAUGUUGAUGUGGUUCACAGUCUGAUACUCACAACAGGUACUCAUUCGUCCUCAAUAAAUUGUCCAGUUUUAUCUCCGUCGCUAUUUAUGGAUAUGAAACUUGGGAUCACUUAGUAUAUGCAUAUGUCAUGGAGAUUUCUUUAGGUAUAAUUCUGUUUCUUGGACUGC